RNAcentral lists this ribosomal RNA (274 nucleotides) under uncultured bacterium. RNAcentral's name for it is "partial 16S ribosomal RNA". It matches the Rfam family "Bacterial small subunit ribosomal RNA", at positions 523 to 796 of the family's 1533-position model. The record is from RNAcentral.
AUACGGAGGGGGCUAGCGUUGUUCGGAAUUACUGGGCGUAAAGCGUACGCAGGCUGACCAUUAAGUUAGAGGUGAAAUCCCAGGGCUCAACACUGGAACUGCCUUUAAAACUGCUGGUCUGGAGUUAUGGAGAGGUAAGUGGAAUUCCUAGUGUAGAGGUGAAAUUCGUAGAUAUUAGGAGGAACACCAGAGGCGAAGGCGGCUUACUGGACAUAUACUGACGCUGAGGUACGAAAGUGUGGGGAGCAAACGGGAUUAGAAACCCUAGUAGUCC